Molecule: long non-coding RNA, 294 nt
Filed under: Elaeis guineensis (African oil palm)
Lineage: Eukaryota; Viridiplantae; Streptophyta; Magnoliopsida; Arecales; Arecaceae
Description: long non-coding RNA (EGUI_LNC077280)
Source: RNAcentral
UGUGGCAUCUCUCUGAACCCCCUCGACCGUCCGAGCUUCCAUAAUGCCAUCCGGACUUCUCCGACAAUGAGCCUCUCCAUUCAUCUACCGGGCCGCUCCAAACACUCUCUGAGCUUCACUAUCAGCCGAUCUUCUACAGUAAUCAACUAUUCUCCGAAUCUCUUCCAGACUUCUCCCACCCACGAUCAACUUUACUCCAGACUCUUUUCGGGCUUCGUCGAUGUCCGAGCUUUCCCAACAACAGGGCUUCUGCAGUAGCCAAGUUUCAUCCAAGUUUCUACGACGGUCGACCGC